UUUCUCUCAAUCAUUUGUGUCUUUUGAUUCUUAUCCCUCACAAGUAAAAUACGUGAGAUUGAUUAGGACUUAUUGUCUCUGUUUGUGAUCUUGUUCAACAUAUGAUUCAACCAGCCAAUCUGUGAUGACUGGUUGAUUAUUUUCGCUGUAACUGAUCUUGAUUUCAUUUGAAUAAAUCUGUGCCUUCUCCUUGAUUUGAGCUUUGAACGAAGGUGGAAGACGAUGGCUCGGAGAUCAAUCUCGAUCAUAUGCCACAAUGAAAUUUUAGUCUUUUUUAUUGAUUUCUUUCGGUCUAAACCUAUUGGAUUCGCUUUGAAUUAUGUCCAAACUAAAGGGAUUCCAUAUAUCACCCUACUAAAUUCUUAUCAUCUGAGAGGGUGGAAGAUUCAGACUUUGUUCAGUAGCACUACCUAUGACAAGCACUAAGAUUCAUAUGUUUAGCGAUUCCAUAUACAUUGAAAGAGAAACAAUCUACUUUUGUUUAAGAUUCGUUAUAGAAAUACAGAAAACAUCUAUCUCAGCAGCAAAGGUGACCUUAUUGGCGGGUUAGGAAAGGUCUUAAAAAGGAUUUUCCUGUUCGUGAUCAUAUCAAGAAUGAUGAAUGUUAAGGCUUUAUUUACAAUGGUUAAGGUCUUACGGCCAAAAAGUUGAACGUGGCAACGAUUGAACAAAAUGCGUCAUUAGAAUCAGUGAUCAGUGUCGACGACUAGGUUAAUAACUUUUUGUUGAAUAUUAUUGAUUAGAGGUUCUUCAAGUCAUUUAACACCACUGCAAUUGGAGUCUUUAGUAACUGAAGGUGGCACAUCAAGAUUUUGGUUGUUUAGGCCUGCUCACAGUAUUCUCGACAUCUUUUUCUUGAUGUAUUUUGUUGUUUUAUAUUUAAUCUGGGCUGUCGUUCUGUUUUCUUAUUUGGCAGGUGGAAUUCCGCUCUUCAUUAUCAUCCUCCUGUAUACGCACCAGCCGCGCUCUCCAUGAACUUUCUAUUACCUUCUCGAAUUAAAAUAUAUCUUUUGAAAUAGUUGAUCUUGGACUUUUCCCGAAUACAGCUGGAAGAUUUGGAAUCUCUCUUGAAGAGGUUUCCCGCUUUCCAGAUAUGCAUCCGGCAACUAAAUCUUCAGAUAUAACAGAUAUAACGAAGAAAUUUCUUUGCCGGCAUUUGAACUUGACAAACAUUUGCUUGAUUAUAUUGGUGGCAAAUAGAUUGACUAUUGUGAUAUGAAUAACUUGCUUCAACCGAUCUUCCACAUGUUGGCUUGCUCGUACUUAUUUCAAUGUAAUCUUUUAUAGACUCUUUUUCCUCUUUAUUCAACAAUAUAAUUGUUUAGUAGUUUAGUGUAGAAAUAGAAUUAAUUAUUUGUAUACCUUAAAAUCAACAUGUAAAAGUAAGGUCUCUUAUUUUUGGGUU
Molecule: RNA transcript, 1405 nt
Organism: Helianthus annuus (common sunflower)
Lineage: Eukaryota; Viridiplantae; Streptophyta; Magnoliopsida; Asterales; Asteraceae
Exons: 10
Source: RefSeq, a predicted model, not a curated record